RNAcentral lists this ribosomal RNA (462 nucleotides) under uncultured bacterium. Its description in RNAcentral is "partial 16S ribosomal RNA". It matches the Rfam family "Bacterial small subunit ribosomal RNA", at positions 28 to 507 of the family's 1533-position model. The record is from RNAcentral.
GAUGAACGCUGACAGAAUGCUUAACACAUGCAAGUCUUUGGCGAAGCUGUGCUUGCACAGCCUAGCCAAGGCGGACGGGUGAGUAACGCGUAAUGAACUUGCCCUGCAGUCAGGGAUAACAGACGGAAACGACUGAUAAGACCUGGUAAAGUCAGGCGGACUCAUGUCCAGCCUGAUGAAAAGAGAUGCUGCAGGAGAGCCUUGCGUCCUAUUAGCUUGUUGGUGGGGUAACGGCCCACCAAGGCGAUGAUAGGUAGCCGGCCUGAGAGGGUGGACGGCCACAAGGGGACUGAGAUACGGCCCUUACUCCUACGGGAGGCAGCAGUGGGGAAUAUUGGACAAUGGGGGCAACCCUGAUCCAGCAAUUCUGUGUGCACGAUGAAGGUUUUCGGAUUGUAAAGUGCUUUCAGCAGGGAAGAAAAAAUGACGGUACCUGCAGAAGAAGCGACGGCUAAAUACGUG